This 468-nucleotide ribosomal RNA is filed under the name uncultured bacterium. RNAcentral's name for it is "partial 16S ribosomal RNA". It matches the Rfam family "Bacterial small subunit ribosomal RNA", at positions 28 to 507 of the family's 1533-position model. The record is from RNAcentral.
GACGAACGCUGGCGGCGUGCUUAACACAUGCAAGUCGAACGGAAAGGCCCUGCUUUUGUGGGGUGCUCGAGUGGCGAACGGGUGAGUAACACGUGAGUAACGUGCCCUUGACUUUGGGAUAACUUCAGGAAACUGGGGCUAAUACCGGAUAGGAGCUCCUGCUGCAUGGUGGGGGUUGGAAAGUUUCGGCGGUUGGGGAUGGACUCGCGGCUUAUCAGCUUGUUGGUGGGGUAGUGGCUUACCAAGGCUUUGACGGGUAGCCGGCCUGAGAGGGUGACCGGCCACAUUGGGACUGGGAUACGGCCCAGACUCCUACGGGAGGCAGCAGUGGGGAAUAUUGCACAAUGGGCGGAAGCCUGAUGCAGCAACGCCGCGUGCGGGAUGACGGCCUUCGGGUUGUAAACCGCUUUCGCCUGUGACGAAGCGUGAGUGACGGUAAUGGGUAAAGAAGCACCGGCUAACUACGUG